This 433-nucleotide ribosomal RNA is filed under the name uncultured bacterium. Its description in RNAcentral is "partial 16S ribosomal RNA". It matches the Rfam family "Bacterial small subunit ribosomal RNA", at positions 29 to 507 of the family's 1533-position model. The record is from RNAcentral.
AACGAACGCUGGCGGCAGGCUUAACACACGCAAGUCGAGCGCAUCCUUCGGGGUGAGCGGCGGACGGGUGAGUAACGCGUGGGAACGUGCCCUCUUCUACGGAAUAGCCUCGGGAAACUGAGAGUAAUGCCGUAUACGCCCGCAAGGGGAAAGAUUUAUCGGAGGAGGAUCGGCCCGCGUUGGAUUAGGUAGUUGGUGGGGUAACGGCCUACCAAGCCGACGAUCCAUAGCUGGUUUGAGAGGAUGAUCAGCCACACUGGGACUGAGACACGGCCCAGACUCCUACGGGAGGCAGCAGUGGGGAAUCUUGGACAAUGGGGGCAACCCUGAUCCAGCCAUGCCGCGUGAUCGAUGAAGGCCUUAGGGUUGUAAAGAUCUUUCAGCUGGGAAGAUAAUGACGGUACCAGCAGAAGAAGCCCCGGCUAACUCCGUG